CCGACGGUGUACUUUGCCUCCUCCAGAGCCCAGCUAAACCUCUGGAGCUCCUUCUUGGGGCAGCUGCCGUCAUCCCUAACCCUAAGUUCCGAGGGUUUUACGUCGCAAAAAACCGGAAUGACCCUCUUCUUGGAAUCCAUGAGAAGAGCCAGUUCAUGGAGGCAGAAGUAGGAGUGGCAGUACCGUGGCGAGAACACGGCGAUACCGACUUUGCAGUCUCGUAUCGCCGGGUCAAUAGUAUCGAAUAGCUUGUCGCCGGGCUUCAUGUUCUUGCUGUCCAAGAAAGGACGCAGCCCUAGAUUGCUUCUCAAAUGAUCGUAAAGCAACCCGGCCACGGUUCGUUUCGUGUCGAUACUCCGGUGGCUGAUGAAGACGUCGCAGGGCUGUCUCACCUCCUGGAUUUGGGGCCGGUGCCGGAGAAGAACUUGACGGCACAUGGUCUUGGCUGGCAAACGCUGCAUGGUCACAACCUAGAGCUCCAAGAAGCUGCUGCUUAAAUUAAUGUUAAGAUGAUUUUUGAUCGAUGACCAGUUUGAGUUUGAUUUCAAGGGAGACGAAAGAAUUCUACACAUUCGUUUGCAGAGAAAGGGAGAUUGGACCCUCAAAAUGGAUGCGGGGAAUUUUAUAUUGUUGGAAGACAAAAAGGGACAUCUUGAGAUCGAGCUUAGUAAGCUUCGGGGCAGGGUGAUAGCUAGUUUUUGUGAGUGUAUGUAAGAACUCUAAUGUAUUUAAGUUACGACUAAUGUUCCUGGAUAUGUAGUAUUGUUGGAUGGACCAUGUUGGGUUCUGUAUUUUAUUAUGGUUUGUGAUAUGAGAAUUCAGAAACUUCCAUGUAUGAUAAUAGUUUAGAACUCUGGUGAUA
Molecule: long non-coding RNA, 862 nt
Organism: Malania oleifera
Lineage: Eukaryota; Viridiplantae; Streptophyta; Magnoliopsida; Santalales; Ximeniaceae
Exons: 3
Source: RefSeq, a predicted model, not a curated record